ACUGGUCAAAUCAACUGUUGAAAUAGGGAUUGAACAGAUUUCAAAUCCCCUCCACAUAGUUAAACUCAUCAUACCUUGCUAUUGCAUAAUUAAACCAUCCAAAAAAGUGUAAUCACAAUGUAUACUCACUAUAAAAAAAAAACAUUUUCUGCAAUAUGAAUUCAAAUCAAACAACAAUUACACAUAAAAAUCCAGAUGAUCCCAUAUGGUAAAAUCAAGAAUCUCUUCAAACAGACCGCAAAGAACUGAAAUUUAAGCAAAUCCAGAUGAUCCCAUAUUGGUAAAAUCGAGAAUUUUCUCGUCGCUACCGGAGAGUAACUCUGUUUAUAUUUGGUCAUGCACAGAGCUGGAACGGUGCUUGGGAAGAGGAGAGGUGGAAAAGGAGGACAUAGGAAGCGGCGGCGGAGUCAUGAAUCUAGAGUAAGAGGCGGUAGCGCAGAAGGAAGCAAGGGAGACCCUCGACAGUGUGAAGAAAGCUUCUGCAAUUAAAUUUGAAAAACAAAGGAAGAAAAGAGAAGAAGGUACAUAUUGGCGAGAAUCGGGCAAAGUGGAGCGUAUUUGGAGCGAUCAAAGUCAGAAGGAGCAGAAUUCCCCAAGCCAGUCAUGGUUUCGGACGAAACGGGGUGUGUUUCGGACGAAACACUCCAAAAAUAAGCCUGUUUCGGACGAAACAGUCUCUGUUUCGGACGAAACAAGGCCUGCACUCAUCCAGGAGAUUUCUAUCUCAGGCCAUUUCGGACGGAACAAGCCAACUUCUGACAUAAACGCAUUUUUAAUGAAGAAACGUGGUGAAGAGCUGAAAUGACAUAUAUGGGCAUCUUCUUGGUUUAUUUUCAUGUGUGGUUUCAUUUAGACUUGUACUAGGAUGUAAUUUUGCACCCUUUUUGUCCUUGAACUAUAAAAGGACCCCUUUAUUUCCCUUUUA
Mercurialis annua (annual mercury) is the source of this 925-nucleotide long non-coding RNA. RefSeq lists it as uncharacterized. The record is from RefSeq and is a predicted model, not a curated record. The transcript is spliced from 2 exons. Lineage: Eukaryota; Viridiplantae; Streptophyta; Magnoliopsida; Malpighiales; Euphorbiaceae.